Corvus hawaiiensis (hawaiian crow) is the source of this 1076-nucleotide long non-coding RNA. RefSeq lists it as uncharacterized. The transcript is spliced from 2 exons. The record is from RefSeq and is a predicted model, not a curated record. Lineage: Eukaryota; Metazoa; Chordata; Aves; Passeriformes; Corvidae.
UUGCCAUAGUGACGGUAACUGUGUGACCCCAAGUGUUGCCAUGGUGACAGUGACAAUGUGACCUCAAGGAGCCACUGGAGUGACCGUGUGUCCCCAGGGGUUGCCAUGGUGACCGGUGUGUCCCCAAGGGUCACCGUGGUGGCCCUGUGGUGUCCCCAAGUGUUGCCGUGGUGACAGUGACAAUGUGACCUCGAGGAGCCACUGGAGUGACCAUGUGACCCCAAGGGUUGCCAUGGUGACCGUGUGUCCCCAAGGGUCGCCGUGGAGACAGUGACAUCGUGACCCCAAGGGAGCCACCACAAGGACGGUGUGACCCCAGGGGUUGCCAUGGUGACGGUGACAUCGUGUCCCUGAGGAGCCACUGGAGUGACCCUUGUGCCCAAGGGUUGCCAUGGUGACGGUGACCAUGUGUCCCCAAGGGUCACUGUGGUGGCCACGUGGUGUCCCCAAGGGUUGCCAUGGUGACAGUGACUGUGUGACCCCAAGGGGUUGCCAUGGUGACGAUGACAUCGUGUCCCAAAGGGUUGCCAUGGUGACAGUGACCGUGUGUGACCCCAAUGGUUGCCAUGGUGACGGUGACAUCGUGUCCUCGAGGAGCCACUGGAGUGACCCUUGUGCCCAAGGGUUGCCAUGGUGACGGGUGACAUCGUGUCCCCAAGGAGCCACCACAAGGAUGGUAUGACCCCAAUGGUUUGCCAUGGUGACGGUGACAUCGUGUCCCCAAGGAGCCACCACAAGGACGGUUGUGACCCCAAGGGGUUGCCAUGGUGACGGUGACAUCGUGUCCCUGAGGAGCCACUGGAGUGACCCUUGUGCCCAAGGGUUGCCAUGGUGACGGGUGACAUCGUGUGUCCCCAAGGGUCGCCAUGGUGGCCACGUGGUGGUCCCCAAGGGUUGCCAUGGUGACCGUGUGUGUCCCCCCCAAUGGUUGCCAUGGUGACCGUGUGUCCCCCCCCCCCACCAAUGGUUGCCAUGGUGACCGUGUGUGGCCCCCACCAAUGGUUGCCAUGGUGACGCGUGUGUGGCCCCGCCUGUCCCCUCCCCCCCCCCAGCCAAUAAAAGGCUUUGACCCCAAA